This 387-nucleotide ribosomal RNA is filed under the name uncultured bacterium. RNAcentral's name for it is "bacterial SSU rRNA". It matches the Rfam family "Bacterial small subunit ribosomal RNA", at positions 29 to 416 of the family's 1533-position model. The record is from RNAcentral.
AUUGAACGCUGGCGGCAUGCCUUACACACGCAAGUCGAACGGCAGCACGGGAGCAAUCCUGGUGGCGAGUGGCGAACGGGUGAGUAAUAUAUCGGAACGUGCCCAGUCGUGGGGGAUAACGUAGCGAAAGCUACGCUAAUACCGCAUACGAUCUAUGGAUGAAAGCGGGGGAUCGCAAGACCUCGCGCGAUUGGAGCGGCCGAUAUCAGAUUAGGUAGUUGGUAAGGUAAAGGCUCACCAAGCCGACGAUCUGUAGCUGGUCUGAGAGGACGACCAGCCACACUGGGACUGAGACACGGCCCAGACUCCUACGGGAGGCAGCAGUGGGGAAUUUUGGACAAUGGGCGGCAAGCCUGAUCCAGCAAUGCCGCGUGCAGGAUGAAGGCC